This 468-nucleotide ribosomal RNA is filed under the name uncultured bacterium. Its description in RNAcentral is "partial 16S ribosomal RNA". It matches the Rfam family "Bacterial small subunit ribosomal RNA", at positions 28 to 507 of the family's 1533-position model. The record is from RNAcentral.
GACGAACGCUGGCGGCGUGCUUAACACAUGCAAGUCGAACGGAAAGGCCCUGCUUUUGUGGGGUUCUCGAGUGGCGAACGGGUGAGUAACACGUGAGUAACCUGCCCUUGACUUUGGUAUAACUUCAGGAAACUGGGGUUAAUACCGGAUAGGAUCUCCUGCUGCGUUGUGGGGAUUGGAACGUUUCGGCUGUUGGGGAUGGACGCGCGGGUUAAGAGCUUGUUGGUUGGGUAGUUGCUUACCCAGGCUUUGAAGGAUAGCCGGCCUGGGAGGGUGGACGGGGACAAGGGGACUAAGAGAGGCAGCAGACGCCAACGGGAGGCAGUAGGGGGGAGUAUUGCACAGUGAGAGCAAGUGGGAUGAGGAGGCGUCGGGUGCGGAAUGACGGCCUUCGGGGUAUAAACAGCUUUCGCCUGUGACGAAGCGGGAGUGACGGUAAUGAGUAAAGAAGCACCGGCUAACUACGUG